Molecule: long non-coding RNA, 1551 nt
Filed under: Homo sapiens (human)
Lineage: Eukaryota; Metazoa; Chordata; Mammalia; Primates; Hominidae
Description: HSALNT0174524
Source: RNAcentral
GGUAACCAGGAGAAGGCAACCAUAGAGGGCUGAACAGCAAGACAGCAAGACAGGCACCAAGUUCCACUCCACAAUAUUUCCUGGGAACAGCCUUGCCAAUCCAUGAAAUAAGAAAAAUGUUAUUCUGUGCCUUCCCACUUCUCAGAAUGCUUACAAGCUGUAUUUCCUCCACCAGCAACGUUCCAUUUCAAGCCACAGGACUAUAAAGACAGAUGCCACAAAGUUCAUCUGUUAUUGAGUGACCACAGGAAAUGCCAGAGAUUCUGAGAAGCAAUUGAAAUUGAACCAUGUAACAGCCAACCUGACCCUCUUCACUCAUGCCCCUCAGGAUCCUGGGUGUAACAUCAAUUAAGACAAAUUAACAUAAAGAAAGUCGGACUGGAAGAAACACAAUUUCUUUCAAGAAAUACUAGCGGCCCCAUGUUGCGAUUCAGGCCAUUGAGAAAUAUUUCAAGUAUGACUCCGAGAAAAGCUUUCACAAAUAUUUUAUGAGCUUCAAAAUUAUAAGAAGUCACCAAGCCCCUUCUUUUCACUGCUACCAUUUUGCAAGGACAACAUCACAAGGGGAGUGGAGCAAGGAGAGCAAGUGCAAGGAGCUUGCUUCAUUCACUCGCUGACCUAGGAAGUCAGGAAUGCCAUCUUGUCCUGGUCCUGUAAGGUCUUUAUAAUCCUUGUCCAUCCAGGUACGAUGAAGAAGGCAGGCUACACUAGAAACUAAAUGUGGGAUUUUGCCCACUUUUCACGCAUCAAGCCUCUUUCGAAGGUUGUGCUCUAAAUGACCUCAUUCAAAGUAUAAGGAGAACAUGCAUUGGUGAAGAACAUGGGCUCUGCAGUCAGACUUCUUGGGCUGUGGCACUUACUAUCAGUGAGACGGUGGAUAAAUCUUAGUUUCUCUUAGUUUUGCUUUACUUAUUCAUGAAUUGAGGUUAAUAAAAGCACCAAACUAUAAGGUUACUGUGACAACAAAAUAACACAUAAAGCACAAUGCCUAGCAUAGGUAAAAACUAUUAUCCUGCCUUGCAGCACUUACCAGGUAUGAAUGAAAAAGAAAGCAAAAUUUGCAAGUUUCUGCCCCCUGUAACUGUAUUGCUAGCUCAUAUUAGGACGCUGGAUGAUUUAUAAUAUAAUUGAACACCAGAGGUAAAUGUUUCUUUACUCUCUGGGCUUCAGCAUCUCUAUCUGUAAAAUCAGGUGGUUGUAUUAAAUCUCUUACCUUCUCAAUUCCAACAAGAACUGUCUAGAAAUUGUUGAGCAAUUCCCCAGGGAUGCAAGCAAAUCCCCAAAGAUCCCCUCCUUGAGGCUGAGAUGGGGGCUGAUAUUAAAUUACAGCUGCACAAACAGCAACUUCAUCACAUGAGGUUUACCUAGCACUGUCUGUGUGUGUGUCUUUCAUUCCUUCACCUUUGUGUUAGGCGUACCUAUGCGCCAGAUCCUAAUGGAAGCAGUGAGAUGGCCAGGAUGCUGAGGUAAGUGAGAUGUGGCCCCUAGAACCAAGAAACUCACAGACCAGUAACAGAAUGAAGUCAGCAUAAAGACUGAAGGUGUAGGGCA